This 460-nucleotide ribosomal RNA is filed under the name uncultured bacterium. RNAcentral describes it as "partial 16S ribosomal RNA". It matches the Rfam family "Bacterial small subunit ribosomal RNA", at positions 338 to 795 of the family's 1533-position model. The record is from RNAcentral.
CCUACGGGUGGCAGCAGUGAGGAAUAUUGGUCAAUGGACGAGAGUCUGAACCAGCCAAGUAGCGUGAAGGAUGACUGCCCUAUGGGUUGUAAACUUCUUUUAUAAAGGAAUAAAACGAGGCACGUGUGCCUUUUUGCAUGUACUUUAUGAGUAAGGAUCGGCUAACUCCGUGCCAGCAGCCGCGGUAAUACGGAGGGUCCGAGCGUUAUCCGGAUUUAUUGGGUUUAAAGGGAGCGUAGAUGGGUUGUUAAGUCAGUUGUGAAAGUUUGCGGCUCAACCGUAAAAUUGCAAUUGAUACUGGCAGUCGUGAGUACAGUUGAGGUAAGCGGAAUUCGUGGUGUAGCGGUGAGAUGCUUAGAGAUCACGAAGAACCCCGAUUGCGAAGGCAGCUUACUAAACUGUGACUGACAUUGAUGCUCGAAAGUGUGGGUAUCAAACAGGAUUAGAUACCCGAGUAGUC